This 759-nucleotide ribosomal RNA is filed under the name uncultured Capnocytophaga sp. RNAcentral describes it as "bacterial SSU rRNA". It matches the Rfam family "Bacterial small subunit ribosomal RNA", at positions 28 to 776 of the family's 1533-position model. Lineage: Bacteria; Pseudomonadati; Bacteroidota; Flavobacteriia; Flavobacteriales; Flavobacteriaceae. The record is from RNAcentral.
AUUGAACGCUGGCGGCAGGCCUAACACAUGCAAGUCGAGCGGCAGCGGAAAGUAGCUUGCUACUUUGCCGGCGAGCGGCGGACGGGUGAGUAAUGUCUGGGAAACUGCCUGAUGGAGGGGGAUAACUACUGGAAACGGUAGCUAAUACCGCAUGACCUCGAAAGAGCAAAGUGGGGGAUCUUCGGACCUCACGCCAUCGGAUGUGCCCAGAUGGGAUUAGCUAGUAGGUGAGGUAAUGGCUCACCUAGGCGACGAUCCCUAGCUGGUCUGAGAGGAUGACCAGCCACACUGGAACUGAGACACGGCCCAGACUCCUACGGGAGGCAGCAGUAGGGAAUCUUCCGCAAUGGACGAAAGUCUGACGGAGCAACGCCGCGUGAGUGAAGAAGGUUUUCGGAUCGUAAAACUCUGUUGUUAAAGAAGAGCAAGGAUGAGAGUAACUGCUCAUCCCCUGACGGUAUUUAACCAGAAAGCCACGGCUAACUACGUGCCAGCAGCCGCGGUAAUACGUAGGUGGCAAGCGUUGUCCGGAUUUAUUGGGCGUAAAGCGAGCGCAGGCGGUUCUUUAAGUCUGAUGUGAAAGCCCCCGGCUCAACCGGGGAGGGUCAUUGGAAACUGGAGAACUUGAGUGCAGAAGAGGAGAGUGGAAUUCCACAUGUAGCGGUGAAAUGCGUAGAUAUGUGGAGGAAUACCGGUGGCGAAGGCGGCCCCCUGGACGAAGACUGACGCUCAGGUGCGAAAGCGUGGGGAGCAAACAGG